Non-coding RNA from Microcebus murinus (gray mouse lemur), 689 nucleotides. The record is from RefSeq and is a predicted model, not a curated record. Lineage: Eukaryota; Metazoa; Chordata; Mammalia; Primates; Cheirogaleidae.
UCGGCGGCGCCGGCUGAGCCCCGGGGCGACGCGGACGGCUGUCUGGAGACCUGGGAGAGACAGGAGCAAGGACAAAGUGCCGUUUUCCUGCCUCAGCCCCCCGCUCGCUCUGGUUCCGAAGAGAGGCUGGGACACUGCGCUCCUGCCUGUGUUGCUGUGUCAGCCCUUUCCUGGCCUCCUGUGGGGCGGUGCCUUGUGCCAGGACCCGCUGUCCCCGGAGGGAAGAGGUGCCAUGCCAAGCUCCGUGGCUGACCGAUCUCGGGUCGCAGCCCGGCCACUGGUUGUAGUGAGGAAGUCCUUUCUCGCGUGGCGUGGCGUGGUUCCCCACUCUGCUCUGGCUCCAUCCUCUUCCUCAUCUAGAGCUGGACAGCGCCUCCGCCGCCCUGCCAAGACAGAUGCUGAUCCCAGUUAUGUGCGUGUGUAAAGGGGCGUGGGUGUGUCGGGGAGGACAGGGAAGGCCUGUUGGCCCAGGUCACCUGUGUGCCACCUGCCACAGGAGCCCACAGCAGGGGGCCUUUCAGGGACCCAUGUGACUAUCUGACAGCUGAGGAAAAACAUGAUUGGCUCUAAAAUAAGAACACUGCAAAAUUGAAAUCAAUAAAUUCUUAAUCAAAUGUCCAACUGUAACAUUAUAUCAACCUCAUUAAUUGUUAAAUUUAGUAUUCAUAAAAAUUUCAUUACAUUUGAAA